This 478-nucleotide long non-coding RNA is filed under the name Mytilus galloprovincialis (Mediterranean mussel). The record is from RNAcentral. Lineage: Eukaryota; Metazoa; Mollusca; Bivalvia; Mytilida; Mytilidae.
AGUGGAAAGAUUGAUAGCCACAUUACUUUUGCUAUUCUUUGACAGAUAUUUUCAGUAUUAUUUUUAUAGCUCAAACUUAUAGGAAAAGGCAUGCUUCAAACACAGACAUCUAUAGUAUUCAGUAUCUAUACUAGUAUAUAAAAACAAAAUUGUAUUAAGUUGAAAAAAAGGAAAAAAGGUGAACUGACAUGACUGAGCAUUGUUACUGAUCUGCCAACAUGUCCCAGAACCAUGCUGGAAUAAUAAGAUUGCUAACUCAGGAAGUAAAUUAAUAUGGUGAUCAAUGAAGUGGAACGUUUCACAGGAUGAACCCCUCCUCGAUAUGGGAAGGAUUAGGAAAGUUGUUUCAGGACUCAGCGAUAAUGACUCCCUUGUGGUAAGGUCAUAUUGAACAUUGCACCUUAUAUUUGGGGGAGGGGGGAUGUUGCAAACGACAGAAUUUAUUAGUAUUACAGAGUAAAUUCAUAUAUGGAGGGGA